AGGUUCGUUUUCUUUUUGUUGCUUUGAUGAAGGUCACAACUAUGCAACUUUCUAAGGUACACCUCUAAUGCAAGCCCUGCUGCAAGCACCCAAUUCAAGGAUGAGUACGAGCUAUUGCUAAGAUCAGUAGCAACCCUGAUGCAGUUCUGGAUGCAGCUCUUCGAUAAGUGGUCGAAGAAAUGAGCAUUUGCAUUAUGUUGCAUGGAGAUGGUACAACCAUACAGGGCUACUGAAUUGGGUGGAUCAUUUUUCUCUAAGGUAACACAUGGAGUAUUUACGUUAGUAUGCUUUCUAUUAAUCCGGUGUAGCUGCUAAGAAAGUUUAUUUGUAGUUGA
This is a long non-coding RNA of Erigeron canadensis, 335 nucleotides long. RefSeq lists it as uncharacterized. Lineage: Eukaryota; Viridiplantae; Streptophyta; Magnoliopsida; Asterales; Asteraceae. The record is from RefSeq and is a predicted model, not a curated record. The transcript is spliced from 3 exons.